RNAcentral lists this long non-coding RNA (231 nucleotides) under Manihot esculenta (cassava). Its description in RNAcentral is "long non-coding RNA (MESC_LNC008386)". Lineage: Eukaryota; Viridiplantae; Streptophyta; Magnoliopsida; Malpighiales; Euphorbiaceae. The record is from RNAcentral.
CCCUCCGAAAGCAUGCAUGUUCGGCGGCCGAACCUCAAAGUUCGGCGGCCGAACCUGGGUUUUCCUCCAAAGAUUUUUCAUGCAAAAACUCAUUUAAUUCUUACUUAAAAACAUGAAAUACAUGAAAACAUUUCAUAAAAUCAUGGUUUUACCCUUCUAGAGGUUUCCGAUAUCCGAGGUCCCACCGGACGGUAGGGAUUCCGAUACCGGAGUCUAGCCGGGUAUUACACU